Molecule: long non-coding RNA, 2407 nt
Organism: Tympanuchus pallidicinctus (lesser prairie-chicken)
Lineage: Eukaryota; Metazoa; Chordata; Aves; Galliformes; Phasianidae
Exons: 2
Source: RefSeq, a predicted model, not a curated record
CGCCGCGUCCCCCGCUCCACUCACCGUGGCCGAAGCGACGGCGCCGUCCGCCAGGGUCAAGUGGUGCGGCUCCCACCGCCGCAGGAACUUGGAGGUCUCAUGAAAGCAGCAGUGCUUGAAGAAGGCUAACAAAGGCGACUGCAGGGGAGGAUGAAGACCUUCAAGCAAUUGUCCAAGCUUUUACAGGUGAGCAGAAGCCUCUGCCCUCAGACGCUGCCCCUGGAACGGCCAUCAGGACUUGCUGUCACCAGCACUCACUGCCCUCACAGAGCCCGAGAGGGAGCACUGCCACCUCUCACUUUAGUUCCUUCACCUUUCCUCAUUCAUCUAUUUCCUGUGGGUUUUCCUCUUUGAUUAAAUUUCUGGUAUGUAGCAGCUCCAUAAUAAAACAGCUAACUCAUGGGAGAUGGAGGAUAUUUAUCAAAUCUACUGCAUUUCUUUCAUUCCUUGUAAGACCUUGAGAGACAAUCCUGAACCACGUUUUUCCUUUCUUUUAAAAACAGAAAGAAAAAAAAAAAAAAUCAUAUGAGCAGUUGACAAGUUUUCAAACCAUCAAUGUUUUAUUUGGUUAGUUUAUUAAACACCUUUAAGACAAUUAAUUUUGGUCUGUACCCUUCUAGAAAAUAAUUCAAGUUCUGAACAAACCUCCAAUACAUAAAGCAAAGUUACUUUACCAUACGCAAAUUUCAGAUCAAAAUACAGCACUCUGUUUUCUUACAUUUAUAAAACCCGGUCAAAUACAAACGACAUUAAAAAAGAUAAAACACUUCCACUGAUCCUUGGUACAAUAUUACAGCACAAUUUGCACAGUGGCCACUAAGUCUCCAAAGCACAAUUCAAACACUUGAAGAAGGGAACCUCCCUUUAGUCACCCAACAUUAUACCCAACACGUAAACAAAGCGAGUGCUACUUCAUCCAGGGAAAUUCUCACCUCCCUUUUUGUGUGUUUGAGCCACAAAGCCGUUCUGCAAGUCGUGUUACGGGUGUGUAAGCAAACAGCUUUCUGCUUCUGUUACAGCUUUACUGCGACCACUCCAUGAAAACAAACGGGUGGAGGUGGGCCAGACUCUGCACUGGGCAAUUUAUGGCAACUAAAGUAAACCAAUAAGCAUGUUUAUUGCGUUUGCUUUUUGUAAGAACAAAUCAUAAGUCUCUUAAAAACCAAAAUCAAUACCGAAUGAUCUGUGGGUACAACUUGAGGAACUGCCUUUUUUUCAUCUUCAUGACAUCUAACAGACACAGAGUGUUUUCAAUUGCUGUCUGUUCCAUUUCAAGACCCAGCGUUUCAGCAACAGGUCAAAGUGCCAUCAAAAUUGCACAUUUUUUUUCCAAUUAUGAAAACAUACAGUAGCAUGCAGUGUUUGUUUGCCCAGAAGCUUGCACUUAUGCUCGCCUAUGAGCAACGUGGCACCUCUCAUUAAACUGCACUGAGCAAAAAUCAAAAGGCAUACUGAGAAUGAUGGAAUGGAGGCGUCAGCUGACAACCAUCCCCAGGAAGUUCCGACUUAGCAAACCUUACAAUCACACCUCGAGAACAGAAAGUAAAAUCAGAGCACUAACGGGAGGGUCUGACAUACCCAGCUCAGGCCAGAGCUGCACAGGCAGCGAGGCCACUGCAACGCGCCGCAGCACAACUCAGCAGGUAUUUCUGCCCCUCGCUUGUCCCCUACCCUCCCCCCCCAAUGCACAAACAUUACUUGCAAUCCCAUCAUAAGUUUCAUUAUUUCAGCUUCAGUGAAAAUGUGCACGUGUCCAAAUGGAAACCACAGACCGACAGACCUGUUUUGGCCUUCUCCCUCCCCCAAGCUCACAUCAGAUCCAUUAGGAUACCACACGCAUUCAGAACUUGUUCCUAUCUGGUAACAUCAGUUUUAUCCCAACAAAAUGAAGGAGAAUUGCAUACUGCAUAAAAUAGCACAUAUGUAAUGAUGCUUAUGUAAACACUAUAGGAUGGAAAAAUAAUAUUAAAAAAGCAUGAGUGAGGUACAGCAAGAACUCGAUUUGCUAACUUAGCCUUUUAAGUGCAAUUGAAACACUGCAUACUGCCCUUCUCACAAAAGUCUCUCCACAAUUAAGCUACAUUACUGGGAUUAUUCCCUUACAGCUACAUACUCAUGCUGUAACUCCUUACAUUGACUUAAUGCAAAUAGUUACGGGGGAAAAAUUAAUUCACAGGGUUAAUUAAAGUUUUUGCAGUAUUUAAAAGGAAUGGUUGCGAAGGGAUCAACCAUGGAAAAUGUGGUAAUGCACAUUUUAAAAACAUUUCCAAUAAUUUUAACACAGAACAGCAAAUAGAUUUUGAAAAAUGCAUAGAAACCCUGUCAAUAUAAAAAUCCCCACUAAAAUUACACAACUAAACAAUUUUAAUCUAAAUAUUUUAUGUGCUUUUCCUAUAAAGGCCACUUU